Molecule: long non-coding RNA, 204 nt
Organism: Austrofundulus limnaeus
Lineage: Eukaryota; Metazoa; Chordata; Actinopteri; Cyprinodontiformes; Rivulidae
Exons: 3
Source: RefSeq, a predicted model, not a curated record
UCUUGGCCUUGUGUUUUUUCAGUGUCCACCUAAUGUGCAUAAGAUGGAUGGUUACAGAUGUGAAAAAGACCAAGGUCGCUGCUUCAGUGGAAGAUGUAAAACCAAAGACCGGCAGUGCAAGUACAUUUGGGGAGAGAAGGCAACAGCAGCUGAGAAGUUCUGCUAUGAGAAGCUGAACAUUGAGGGGACAGAAAAAGGCAACUG